RNAcentral lists this ribosomal RNA (472 nucleotides) under uncultured bacterium. RNAcentral's name for it is "bacterial SSU rRNA". It matches the Rfam family "Bacterial small subunit ribosomal RNA", at positions 40 to 507 of the family's 1533-position model. The record is from RNAcentral.
CGGCAGGCCUAACACAUGCAAGUCGAGCGGUAGAGAGGUGCUUGCAUCUCUUGAGAGCGGCGGACGGGUGAGUAAUAUAUCGGAACGUGCCCAGUCGUGGGGGAUAACGUAGCGAAAGUUACGCUAAUACCGCAUACGAUCUACGGAUGAAAGCGGGGGAUCGCAAGACCUCGCGCGAUUGGAGCGGCCGAUAUCAGAUUAGGUAGUUGGUGAGGUAAAGGCUCACCAAGCCGACGAUCUGUAGCUGGUCUGAGAGGACGACCAGCCACACUGGGACUGAGACACGGCCCAGACUCCUACGGGAGGCAGCAGUGGGGAAUUUUGGACAAUGGGCGCAAGCCUGAUCCAGCAAUGCCGCGUGCAGGAUGAAGGCCUUCGGGUUGUAAACUGCUUUUGUACGGAACGAAACGGUGAGCUCUAAUACAGUUUGCUAAUGACGGUACCGUAAGAAUAAGCACCGGCUAACUACGUG